AAAGACUUCUGUGUCAAGGAUACUUCAGCUGGAUAAAUGGAGAAUCAUUUGGCAGCCUCAUUGCUAAUCCUGUGGAUUCAUUUUGGCCGAGUGAGCAGCGUACCGAAUGUGGCACAGAGUCCUCGGUCACUUCAUGUGCAGGAGGGAGAGAGCACCAACUUCACCUGCAGCUUCCCUUCCAGUUCCUUCUACGGCUUACACUGGUACAGACAGGAACCUGCAAAAAGUCCCAAGAUUCUGUUUGUAAUAUCUGUAAAUGGGGAUGAAAAGCAGGAAGGACGAGUGAAAGUCACUCUAAAUACGAAGGAGGGUUACAGCUUCUUGUACAUCAAAGGAUCCCAGCCUGAAGACUCAGCCUCUUACCUCUGUGCCUCGACACAGUGCUUCUCAGGCACCUGCAGCCCAUACCCGAAGCCGUGGCUGGUGCUGCUCUGCUCCCAGCGUCAACAAAGAGCCAUAUGUGCAGAGGAAAGGGCAAAUUCAGUGAAUUACAGGGUUUCAGUAAUUGAGGGACUAUGCAGACGUACAUGAAUAAAUAUUCUAAUAAUUGUAGCUCUCUGUUCAGCUGGGCUGUUCCUACUCACUGCAUCCCCAACUCCUACCAAUACACUAACCAUAGCAUUGAG
Molecule: non-coding RNA, 626 nt
Organism: Tupaia belangeri chinensis (Chinese tree shrew)
Lineage: Eukaryota; Metazoa; Chordata; Mammalia; Scandentia; Tupaiidae
Source: the annotation of a RefSeq genome assembly